This 501-nucleotide ribosomal RNA is filed under the name uncultured bacterium. RNAcentral describes it as "partial 16S ribosomal RNA". It matches the Rfam family "Bacterial small subunit ribosomal RNA", at positions 30 to 523 of the family's 1533-position model. The record is from RNAcentral.
AUUGAACGCUGGCGGCAGGCUUAACACAUGCAAGUCGAGCGGGGGAAGGUAGCUUGCUACCGGACCUAGCGGCGGACGGGUGAGUAAUGCUUAGGAAUCUGCCUAUUAGUGGGGGACAACAUCUCGAAAGGGAUGCUAAUACCGCAUACGUCCUACGGGAGAAAGCAGGGGAUCUUCGGACCUUGCGCUAAUAGAUGAGCCUAAGUCGGAUUAGCUAGUUGGUGGGGUAAAGGCCUACCAAGGCGACGAUCUGUAGCGGGUCUGAGAGGAUGAACCGCCACACUGGGACUGAGACACGGCCCAGGCGCCUACGGGGGGCAGCAGUGGGGAAUAUUGGACAAUGGGGGGAACCCUGAUCCAGCCAUGCCGCGUGUGUGAAGAAGGCCUUAUGGUUGUAAAGCACUUUAAGCGAGGAGGAGGCUACUCUAGUUAAUACCUAGGGAUAGUGGACGUUACUCGCAGAAUAAGCACCGGCUAACUCUGUGCCAGCCGCCGCGGUAA